This is a long non-coding RNA of Leptinotarsa decemlineata (Colorado potato beetle), 906 nucleotides long. The record is from RefSeq and is a predicted model, not a curated record. NCBI's taxonomy places the organism in Eukaryota, Metazoa, Arthropoda, Insecta, Coleoptera, Chrysomelidae.
ACUAGUUAAAAUGGAAAUAAAUGAAAUAGAUGUGAUUUGUCACAUCUUCGUCCCCCCUUCAGACAAAAAACAGGUGUCCAUAAAACAAAAGUUAAAGUGGCACCUGUAGAAACAUUUCGAACAUUAAAUAGACAAAACAAACUUUAAACAAUGGAAAACACGCGUCAAGGCGGCUUGUUAUAACUUUUAAGGUGAGAGGCGUGAAAAACUCCUCUUUCGCGGUCGCUAUCCGAGCCUAGCAGAAGGGCUGACGAUAUAUUGUUCGCUUUCAAGAGAACAAGGUCACCAGGAAUGAACUUCCGAUAGGGUCAUUCCGGGUACAUGAUCGCUUUACGCUUAGCCCUGGACUCCAUUGUCUCCCGGGCUAGAACGAGUUUAUCCCCUGCUGGGAGGUUGAUACCAACAGGUGGCACCAGCUGAUCGGGUAGUAGCUUUUCUCGAGGCACCCCAAACUCAAGUUCCUCGGGGGUGAAUCCAGUGGACUCAUGAACGACAGUUUUCAUAAAUUGCUGGAAAAUAGGAAUGAAUCCGGAAGCCUCAAAGAAAAAAUGCUGAAAUAGUUGUCAGAGGGUGAAGGCAAUCGAACACAGGCAUGUCGGGAGAGGGCAUCAGCCACAACAUUUUCGUGACCAGGAACCUGAUAAAUCUUAAAAGAAUACUCCUGAAGCACUAGGGCCCAACGGGUAAUCCUAGGAGAAAGUAACCUACAGGUGUUAAGGUAAGUUAAAGUAAAAAUGUUGUGCCAAUAAAUAGACCCUCCAUCGGGUGAUACACCAAACGGCAACCAAAACUUACUUUUCAUUUGAACUGUAGCGCCUCUCACGAUCCAACAGUAAACGACUUGCCCAAGCAACAGGGUAUUUACGACCGUCCCUCACUUGAAAAAGUUGUCCAGCUAUCCCAUAC